AUCGCAGGCGGCAAUGCAAGUCAGGUGUAAAAGGCAAAGGCUCAACCUUUGUAAGCAUCUGAAACUGUAUAGCUUGAGAAGUGUAGAGGCAAGUGGAAUUUUUAGUGUAGCGGUGAAACGCGUAGAUAUUAAAAAGAAUACCGGUGGCGAAGGCGACUUGCUGAGCACAAUCUGACGCUGAGGAACGAAAGCGUGGGGAGCAAACA
Molecule: ribosomal RNA, 206 nt
Filed under: uncultured bacterium
Lineage: Bacteria
Description: partial 16S ribosomal RNA
Rfam family: Bacterial small subunit ribosomal RNA
Source: RNAcentral